UGGUUGAUCCUGCCAGUAGUGUAUGCUUUUCCUAAAGAUUAAGCCAUGCAUGCCUUCGAAUAAGAGGAAGCAAUUCUCUCUGAAUCUGCGAACGGCUCCGCAAACCAGUUGUAAACUCGAGUAAACACGCUUGGCCACGGGCCCUCACGGGCCUAGGCCAAGCUACAUGGAUAACCGUGGUAAUUCUGAGGCUAAUACAUGACAGCAAGCAAGCUCGGUCCGCAUCAGUUCCCUCGUGGAACCGCGGGCCGGGUGGAUGUGUGAUUUAACGGCUUGGGAAUCCAUGACAGAACGCACGUUUGGACCAUCGUCAAUGGCCGCUGCGGCCCCUCGGGGCCAAAGCCGGCUAGGUGGCUUUUACUACGUGCUUCUGACCUAUCAACUAGACGGCAGCGUAACGUACAUGCCGUGGUUACAACGGGUACAGAGGAUUAGAGUUCGAUUCUGGAGAGUGGGCCUGAGAGAUUGCUCAUACUUCUAAGGAAGGCAGCAGGCGCGCAACGUUCCCAGUGGGCAAAGCCCGAGGGCGUUAGGGGAAAUAUGAAUGCCUGCCAAUAAGGCGGGCAAUUCAAAUGGGUCUGUUGUAAAUAGGCUCUCGAGUAACAAUUAGAGGACAAGUCUGGUGCCAGCACCCGCGGUAAUUCCAGCUCUAAUAGCAUACGUUAAAGUUGUUGCGGUUAAAACGCUCGUAGUCGGCUUCAGACCGUCAGAAACUCGAGCCUGGAACCUGGAUUUGUCGCUCUUAACUGAGCGUGCCGGGCGACGGGCAAGGGUAGGCGGCGGUCAAGCGUACCCGUUAGCGUGCGGCUUCGGCUGCUUACAAGGCUCGAGUCGGCUUCGGCUUCUCUUGCCCGGCUUCGGGUGCCAUUUACCAUGAUUAAACUGGGGUGAUCAAAGCAAGCCGUUCGGCUGCUGCACAGCGCAGCAUGGCACAAGCUAUACCGGCCCGGUUCCCCAAGCGGACCGCGUGCUGGCUAGAAGCGAAAGGGGUGUUCGAGGGUAACCGAAUAGCUGGGCGAGUGGUGAAAUACGUUGACCCUAGCUAGUCGACCGAAGGCGAAAGCAGUUGCCAAGGGCACGCCCGUUGAUCAAGAGCGAAAGUUAAGGGUUCGAAGACGAUCAGAUACCGUCGUAGUCUUAACUAUAAAUGAUACUGGCUAGAGAUAGGACGUCGUCCAUCUCGACUCCUCCCGGACCUUAGAGAAAUCAUAGCCUUUGAGUUCUGGGGGGAGUAUGGUCGCAAGACUGAAACUUAAAGGAAUUGACGGAAGGGCACACAAAGAGUGGAACCUGCGGCUUAAUUUGACUCAACACGGGAAAACUCACCAGGUCCUGAUACACAGAUGAAAGACAAGCUGAUAGACUUUUCUCAAUAAUGUAAGUGGUGGUGCAUGGUCGUUCUUAGUUCGUGGAUUGGUCUGUCUGGUCUAUUCCGAUAACGAGCGAGACCCCGACGUUCUUACUAGGGGCGGCAGCCCGGCUUGGCGGAUUCGUCUUCCUCGCUAGCAGCCGCCUUACCCUAUGCUUCUUAGACGGAUCGAGGCCGAAAAGGUCUCUGAAAUGGGUUAAUAACAGGUCAGUCAUGCCCUUAGAUGUUCUGGGCCGCACGCGCGUUACAAUGGCAUGCUUAGUAAGCGUCCAUUACGGGCUUGCCCGCGGCUUACCGGCUGCGGCAACCCUUAGUCCCUGCCUUGACUGGGACAGACUAUUGCAAUUAUUGGUCUCCAACGAGGAAUUUUUAGUAGUCACGGGUCAUUAACCCGUGCCGAAUGCGUCCCUGCCCUUUGUACACACCGCCCGUCGCUGCUACCGAUUGGGUUUUGCGGUUACGCGUUCGGAGGCCGUGGUCACCGCCUGCUUUCGGGUAGGUGGAGACCGUGGCCAAAGUUCUAAUUACCGCACG
RNAcentral lists this ribosomal RNA (1903 nucleotides) under Lamproderma cacographicum. RNAcentral describes it as "SSU rRNA". It matches the Rfam family "Eukaryotic small subunit ribosomal RNA". The record is from RNAcentral. Lineage: Eukaryota; Evosea; Eumycetozoa; Stemonitida; Stemonitidae.